GAUGAACGCUGGCGGCGUGCCUAAUACAUGCAAGUCGAGCGAACAGACGAGGAGCUUACUCCUCUGACGUUAGCGGCGGACGGGUGAGUAACACGUGGAUAACCUACCUAUAAGACUGGGAUAACUUCGGGAAACCGGAGCUAAUACCGGAUAACAUGUUGAACCGCAUGGUUCAACAGUGAAAGACGGUCUUGCUGUCACUUAUAGAUGGAUCCGCGUCGCAUUAGCUAGUUGGUAAGGUAACGGCUUACCAAGGCAACGAUGCGUAGCCGACCUGAGAGGGGGAUCGGCCACACGGGAACUGAGACACGGGCCAGACUCCUACGGGAGGCAGCAGUAGGGAAUCUUCCGCAAUGGGCGAAAGCCUGACGGAGCAACGCCGCGUGAGUGAAGAAGGUCUUCGGAUCGUAAAACUCUGUUAUUAGGGAAGAACAAAUGUGUAAGUAACUAUGCACGUCUGGACGGUACCUAAUCAGAAAGCCACGGCUAACUACGU
Molecule: ribosomal RNA, 496 nt
Filed under: uncultured bacterium
Lineage: Bacteria
Description: partial 16S ribosomal RNA
Rfam family: Bacterial small subunit ribosomal RNA
Source: RNAcentral